UACGAAGGGGGCUAGCGUUGUUCGGAAUCACUGGGCGUAAAGCGCACGUAGGCGGACUUUUAAGUCAGGGGUGAAAUCCCCGGGGCUCAACCCCGGAACUGCCUUUGAUACUGGAAGUCUUGAGUCCGAGAGAGGUGAGUGGAACUCCGGAGUGUAGAGGUGAAAUUCGUAGAUAUUCGGAAGAACACCAGUGGCGAAGGCGGCUGCACUGGCUCGGUACUGACGCUGAGGUGACGAAAGGCAGUGGGGAGCAAACAGGAUUCGAGAUACCCCCGGUAGUCC
RNAcentral lists this ribosomal RNA (282 nucleotides) under uncultured bacterium. Its description in RNAcentral is "partial 16S ribosomal RNA". It matches the Rfam family "Bacterial small subunit ribosomal RNA", at positions 524 to 796 of the family's 1533-position model. The record is from RNAcentral.